This 68-nucleotide ribosomal RNA is filed under the name Aurantiochytrium limacinum. RNAcentral's name for it is "partial Eukaryotic large subunit ribosomal RNA". The record is from RNAcentral. Lineage: Eukaryota; Bigyra; Thraustochytrida; Thraustochytriidae.
AAGAUGAAAAGCACUUUGGAAAGAAAGUUAAAAGACUUGAAAUCGUUGAGGCGGACCCGGUAGAAAUG